Parelaphostrongylus tenuis is the source of this 75-nucleotide non-coding RNA. NCBI's taxonomy places the organism in Eukaryota, Metazoa, Nematoda, Chromadorea, Rhabditida, Metastrongylidae. The record is from the annotation of a GenBank genome assembly.
GCGUCAAUAGUGCAACGGAUUAGAGCACGCGUUCCUGGAGAGAGUGAGUUUCGGGUUCGAAUCCCGCCUGACGCA